GCCGGGGUGGCGGAAUGGUAGACGCGCCAGACUUAAAAUCUGUUGUCCUNAUAGGACGUGGGAGUUCGAGUCUCCCCCUCGGCACCA
This 87-nucleotide transfer RNA is filed under the name Chloroflexota bacterium. Its description in RNAcentral is "Chloroflexi bacterium tRNA-Leu". It matches the Rfam family "tRNA". From Rfam's summary of the family: Transfer RNA (tRNA) molecules are approximately 80 nucleotides in length. Lineage: Bacteria; Bacillati; Chloroflexota. The record is from RNAcentral.